AGGGUUGCUUGCACCCCGCUGACGAGCGGCGGACGGGUGAGUAAUGCAUAGGAAACUGCCCAGUAGUGGGGGAUAGCCCGGGGAAACCCGGAUUAAUACCGCGUACGCCCUUCGGGGGAAAGCAGGGGAUCUUCGGACCUUGCGCUAUUGGAUGUGCCUAUGUCGGAUUAGCUAGUUGGUGGGGUAAAGGCCUACCAAGGCGACGAUCCGUAGCUGGUCUGAGAGGAUGAUCAGCCACAUCGGGACUGAGACACGGCCCGAACUCCUACGGGAGGCAGCAGUGGGGAAUAUUGGACAAUGGGGGCAACCCUGAUCCAGCCAUGCCGCGUGUGUGAAGAAGGCUUUCGGGUUGUAAAGCACUUUCAGUGAGGAGGAAAACUCUGCGACUAAUACUCGUAGGGCUUGACGUUACUCACAGAAGAAGCACCGGCUAACUCCGUGCCAGCAGCCGCGGUAAUACGGAGGGUGCAAGCGUUAAUCGGAAUUACUGGGCGUAAAGCGCGCGUAGGUGGUUUGAUAAGCGAGAUGUGAAAGCCCCGGGCUUAACCUGGGAACGGCAUUUCGAACUGUCAGGCUAGAGUAUGGUAGAGGGUAGUGGAAUUUCCUG
This 607-nucleotide ribosomal RNA is filed under the name Marinobacter flavimaris. RNAcentral's name for it is "bacterial SSU rRNA". It matches the Rfam family "Bacterial small subunit ribosomal RNA", at positions 72 to 673 of the family's 1533-position model. The record is from RNAcentral. Lineage: Bacteria; Pseudomonadati; Pseudomonadota; Gammaproteobacteria; Pseudomonadales; Marinobacteraceae.